Molecule: ribosomal RNA, 253 nt
Filed under: uncultured microorganism
Description: partial 16S ribosomal RNA
Rfam family: Bacterial small subunit ribosomal RNA
Source: RNAcentral
UACGGAGGGUGCAAGCGUUAAUCGGAAUUACUGGGCGUAAAGCGCGCGUAGGUGGCUUGAUAAGCCGGUUGUGAAAGCCCCGGGCUCAACCUGGGAACGGCAUCCGGAACUGUCAGGCUAGAGUGCAGGAGAGGAAGGUAGAAUUCCCGGUGUAGCGGUGAAAUGCGUAGAGAUCGGGAGGAAUACCAGUGGCGAAGGCGGCCAUCUGGCUGGUAACUGACGCUGAGGUGCGAGAGCGUGGGGAGCAAACAGG